Molecule: transfer RNA, 73 nt
Filed under: Camelus bactrianus (Bactrian camel)
Lineage: Eukaryota; Metazoa; Chordata; Mammalia; Artiodactyla; Camelidae
Also listed under: 2 other names
Rfam family: tRNA
About the family: Transfer RNA (tRNA) molecules are approximately 80 nucleotides in length. Their secondary structure includes four short double-helical elements and three loops (D, anti-codon, and T loops). Further hydrogen bonds mediate the characteristic L-shaped molecular structure. tRNAs have two regions of fundamental functional importance: the anti-codon, which is responsible for specific mRNA codon recognition, and the 3' end, to which the tRNAs corresponding amino acid is attached (by aminoacyl-tRNA synthetases). tRNAs cope with the degeneracy of the genetic code in two manners: having more than one tRNA (with a specific anti-codon) for a particular amino acid; and 'wobble' base-pairing, i.e. permitting non-standard base-pairing at the 3rd anti-codon position.
Source: Rfam by way of RNAcentral
GGAGGUAUAGCUCAGUGGUAGACUGCAUGCCUAGCAUGCACAAGGUCCCGGGUUCAAUCCCCAAGUACCUCCG